AUCAUGGCUCGAGGACGAACGCUGGCGGCGUGCUUAACACAUGCAAGUCGAACGGAAAGGCCCUGCUUUUGUGGGGUGCUCGAGUGGCGAACGGGUGAGUAACACGUGAGUAACCUGCCCUUGACUUUGGGAUAACUUCAGGAAACUGGGGCUAAUACCGGAUAGGAGCUCCUGCUGCAUGGUGGGGGUUGGAAAGUUUCGGCGGUUGGGGAUGGACUCGCGGCUUAUCAGCUUGUUGGUGGGGUAGUGGCUUACCAAGGCUUUGACGGGUAGCCGGCCUGAGAGGGCGACCGGCCACAUUGGGACUGAGAUACGGCCCAGACUCCUACGGGAGGCAGCAGUGGGGAAUAUUGCACAAUGGGCGGAAGCCUGAUGCAGCAACGCCGCGUGCGGGAUGACGGCCUUCGGGUUGUAAACCGCUUUCGCCUGUGACGAAGCGUGAGUGACGGUAAUGGGUAAAGAAGCACCGGCUAACUACGUG
This 481-nucleotide ribosomal RNA is filed under the name uncultured bacterium. RNAcentral describes it as "bacterial SSU rRNA". It matches the Rfam family "Bacterial small subunit ribosomal RNA", at positions 16 to 507 of the family's 1533-position model. The record is from RNAcentral.